This is a non-coding RNA of Cyanistes caeruleus (blue tit), 4339 nucleotides long. Lineage: Eukaryota; Metazoa; Chordata; Aves; Passeriformes; Paridae. The record is from RefSeq and is a predicted model, not a curated record.
UUAAUUGAAGAUGAUCAAAAGAACUCAAAUUACAGGAACUUCCCUCACCUGAGAGGCACAGAGUUUGGAAUAAGAAUUCAAGUACCAGCAAGAAGCAUCCAGAAGAGUCUGUGGAAGCAGCUACCUGGAGCAGCUCUCUUGCUGUUUUCCACCUGCUUCAAAAUGGAUUUCUCCUGAACCCUGAAAGCAGUGAAUUCUUUUGAAAGAAAAUUACCUGACUGAAGCAGAAUACAAUGUGAAGAGUCUUCCACGUUAGUCCUAUAUCCAGGAAGCCUCCCUUCAGGAUUAGUGGUUCCUCGGAUGCGUUGAUAGCCAGGGCUGGCAGUGUUCUCACAGGCAGAGUAACUUUCAGGUGGCCUCCUUGGCUCUGGUUUUGCCUCAGGUUGUUUUUACUUCUCUUUCCUCAGAGCUGUUUUUCCUUGUCAGCUCCUCUUCUUCCUCUUUUACUCAUGUUGUUCUUCAAGAGCAAAUUCUCAUAAACUUACAUCAUGGUUGCUCUGUCUCCACCUUCUGCUCUUUGUAUUUCAGUAUUAUAUUUCACUUGUUAUGGUUUAUUUUUAAUCAAACCAUAUCACAUUACUUUUUGGGGCUACAGAAGAGUGUUUGACAUGUUUAAGUUGCCACUGUGAGGUUCUUCUCCAAACAGAAUUCAAACCAUUAUGUUGCAAUCUGUACCAGAGCCUUUCUAGCAGCUGUGUUUAUACAGCUUCUAGUAAAAUGGGUCCCUGAUUAGGAUUUUUGAAUGGCUCAUUCACUGAAAAAAUGGUGUUUUGAACCAGCUAAAGCUAUUUUAAAAAUUGGGAUAAUAUAUGAUUAAAAGUUUCGGUUUGAAGAAAUCAGUGGCAACACCCUGCCAAAUUUUAGGCCUCAAACAUCCUCACCAUUAGUAUCAUAAAGAUUAAGUUACUGGAUUUUAACUGGGAAAGAAGUGGUUUUCUUUUGCUUGUUGAAAAAUUAACUGCAAAAGUCAUUUGUCACAGAUUGAAAAUUUAAUGUUUAGUCACCCAAAAUUGUUGAAGCUCGGUAAAUUAGAUAAAACUGAAGAUAGGUUCUUUGUUGUUUUUUUUUUUAAUUUUCCAGCAACAAUGACUUGAGGGCAACUUAAUCUAGAACAGAAACUGAACAUUAGGCAGUUCUGGAGUUGCUCCACUGUUAUCAAGACAAGCUUUUUGAAAAACCAAGCCCCAUCCUCAGCUGAGUGACACUGACACACACCACAGACUCUGUGUGUUGGGCAGGUGGGUUUUCAGGAGCCUGUCUGCUCCUUCCAUGCCAGGCAACCUCCUCAGGAGGAUGUAGAAGCAAUAGCUGCUGUCUCAAAAGCAGUGCCUUCUGCAGGGAACCCUGAGGCUCUUCCUCCCACUGGUGAGGCUGUGGACAAAAGGUUUCUCAUCCUUGCUGUUCUCCAUGGUGGAGGUGGCAGCUGCAUUUCCGGAAUUCUGCAGGUUACUUGUGUUCAUGCUGCAGACACUGGUGCUGUACAAAACUAAAGGCUCAUUAAGGUAGGGAAACAGAAGUGCUGCUUCUGCUCCAUUAAACUGGAACUCAGGAUUAAAGGACCAAAAGCUACUUCGACUGACAAACUUCAUAUUUAAAUGUUUUUUAAAUUGUAAACUAAGAGCAAAGAUUUAUAAGUUUGUGUCAUGGUCCAUAAAUCUGGAUUUUGUCCUUUGCCUCUAGACAAAUUGCUUGUAGAGGAAUUUGUAGUGGUUUGGAUAAGUCUAGGUUUCAGCAGUCAGCCCUCUUAAGUCAGACAUAUAUGAAACAUCUGUGAUUGUUUCAGGAACUUGGCAGACAAUCACAUACUUAAAUCACAUUUUCCCCUUUGAACAUUGGAAAUGUCCAUAUAUAAAUUAGACACACAAGCCACAUAACUCUGCAUUUGCGAAUUAGACAAGGUAUCAACCUGCUGUUACCUUGCAAAUCCUACUGCAAGGUAAGAGCAAGUUGAUACCUUGCCAUAGUGAAAGAGAGCAGUUUAAAGUUAUUUAAAACUCUCUAACUUUUUUGUGCCCUGAAAUAAAACCUAAGAGCUUUAAGGGGAGUUGUUGCUAAAUGGCAGGCUACUUUAGUGUUCAGAAUUUGCAAGUUAGCCAAAAGACUAAGACUAAAAUCAAAAGGUUCUUUGAGUAAAAUUUUACAACCCCUCCUUUCCAAGCAGAAUUGCUGAGUUACGUGUGUAGUUGUCACAUGCUGGGCCCCUGAGUACAUUCACCAUGCUGUUGUGCAGAGUCUGUCUAGAAUCAUCUCAUCCUGUAAUGAGAUCAUGUGAAUUCAAAGCAUAUGAAACUUAAUCCUAGUUUUCAGGAUUAUACCCUGUAAAUUUAAAAUUGCAGAGUAUAAAAAACACAUAAUGUUCCUGACUGCUUAUUAUAAAAAAGGGGGCCCAGCUCAUUGUGAACCAGCUUUGGUUCUGCCGCUGAAAGCAGAAUUUGGUAAAGGAACUUCAGUGGGAGAUUGAAGCUGAUGUCUGGUGACCUUUGUCAGGCAGAACAAAUGAUUCUAUGUUUGCUAGAAUUGUGUUAGUGCUGGAUGCUUCUGGUACAGCCUGAGCAAACAAAGUUUACAAGUCUGGCUGUCUAUCAGCAAACUUUGCCUUUUGAUUAAGUCUACAAAUGCUGCAGCAUGGACCCUCCAGGUAGGAAUUUAGGUUCUGCUUUAUUUGAUGCCAGGUCCUUCAAUAGUUCUAGAAAGUAAUUUUGCUUGUAAUAGAAAAGCGUGAUGAAAACAGACAUAAUCCUGAAGAAUGUGUUAAAAUCAAUUGCUGUGUCUUAGAUUACUGCAUAGGACAUGUCCUUUGGUACACACAGGAAUUGUUUGAACAGUUAAAGACAGCAAGGAAGAGGCUGUCACACACAUACAGGCUGUACCUCUGUGAACUCCAGCUCUGGCAUGACAAAGCAGAGCUAUCUACUGUUUAGGCUUAACCCAGCUCAUAGUGGACACAGAGCCAAAACUAGGCAAGAAAACGCUCCCCAAAACAGAGAAGCCAAAAUUUGCAACCAGUCAUUGUCUUCUGUAUGAACUACCUCUAAGAGCUAGAGGCUACAUGCUUCUGACUUGACCACUAAAAUGCUAUGAAUUUACUGUGGAAGUACCCUUGGUAGCUUUGAGCUUGAGGAUGUACAAGGUUUCUUAGCAGUGUUCAAUGACCUGUCUUGUGUAAUGCCGGGUCUUUCCAUGUUCAGCUCACUGCUUUAUUCUAAGGACAAGCUUAGUUGGUUGCCAAUAGUCCUUCUGUAGCAGAGAUUUUAACUCUGCCUGAUUGAGCAGCAUCACACUGGAGGGAAUAAAGGUGGAAGGAUUGUCUUCCCCAAAGCUGAUGCUGGAACAAAAAUUACCUACACUGGCUCCAAUAUGUCACUGAUGUGGAAAACAAGCUUAUUGUUUUCUUCCAGCACUUUCUGCCACCUCCUUUACCUUUCUUUCCUUUCUGUCUUCUGUACUUUGGCCUCACUGCUCUCUCCUAUAUAUCUCUCUCUUCUUUCAGUUAUUGUUCCUUUACACGCUUAAUGCAAGGCAUCCCAGUUUUAACUGGGUUUUUUUGCCUUAUUCCCUGGGAAACAUCUAUAUCCUUUCUGUUCCCUUCCCAGGGUGUAUUUUUAUGCCAGCAUUGGUGCAUCUCAGCCAGUUGCAAGCCUCCCUCUCCUCCAGCUGAGCAAGAAGUUGAUAGCAACAGACUGUGUGCCUGACUGGACUCAGCUGAGCAUCUCCCCUUUGGAUGUUCUUGGUGGCUGCUGCCAUGCUCCCCACAGCAUGGCCCAGUUUCUCUCUCUGUGGUGAUGAGAGGGUUGGCAUAGAAACUGUAAAGCAACCUGGCAUCUUCCACAACUGUAUUUAUUUGCCCCUUGAAGAAUGUAACUUUCCUUUUAAGGAAGACAAACCUAUUUGGAAGAUAUUCUUGACAUCUUUGGGGUAAUACAGUGUAGUGUUUCUCUUACCAGCCUAUCUGAACCAUUUCAGGAGGUUGUGGUGGGUUAGAGCUGAUUGGCAGCUGUCAGUCACUGGUUCUGCAUUGUCAGUGUUUUUCUUAGGCAGGCUGAAUUGCCUGAUGGAGCUCUCUGGAAUGUAGCAGGAGGCAGUGCAGCAUUUUAAAUUAAUUGCUUGUGGAGAUAGCUGCAGGAUUGUGGUGUCAGAAAAUAUUGCUAAAUCUCCAGGGAUUUCUUGGCAUUUUGUUGCCACAAUAAAGUCAUAGUUGUCAGAGUGGCUUAGUACAGCCACCAAUAUAUGUACACUUAUUUAUGCAGCCUGAAAAUGUAGUGCAAUAAUAAAAUACUCUAUUUACAUUUCUGAGACUUGCAUUCGAGUCUUCUAAUGCUGCUUUUGUCAUUGUCUAAAU